AUACCACUUGACCUUCCCACCAGCAGUGCACCAGCCUUGGAGGGUUCUGGAAACAGAUCCAGGAGGGGAUGGCUCGCAGGGGACUGAGGAGAGAUGGUUGGGACAGCCGACACAAGGAGGUUUUGUCUAUUGCAGAUCAUCUAGGGCUUCUUAGCCAUGUGCCUCACUCCUCAUCCCACGUGAUGAAGCAGCCACUGUCUGGAAUGUGUCAGAUCACCGUGGCAGAGGAAAGAAAUCUCUGAGGGGCCUGCACAGCAAUUAAAUACUCUGGCUGGGAAAUGACACAUUUCCGCUCACUGCUCAUUGGCCAGAACGAGUCACAUGGCCUUACUCAACCAUGAGCGGGCAGGAAAGAGCACCUCCACUGUGUGCCAAAAAGAGAAAGCAUUGGAAAUCUUCAGAAAAAUCAUUAAUCAUUUAACUCA
Suricata suricatta (meerkat) is the source of this 425-nucleotide long non-coding RNA. RefSeq lists it as uncharacterized. The transcript has 2 exons. The record is from RefSeq and is a predicted model, not a curated record. Lineage: Eukaryota; Metazoa; Chordata; Mammalia; Carnivora; Herpestidae.